AUAUUAAACUUUAGGGUCACGCUGUGUACCCCCUAAUUAACCUACAAUUAUUUUCUGUGGUAGGGUUCACUAUUACCCUGUAAUAUAAUACCUGGUCCAAUUUAAAUAUUAUGGUUCCAUAUUAAAGUCUGAUAUCGCGCCUUGCGUUAGUUAACCAUUGAAAGAUGUCUUUGAAUUUUUAAAGCAUUUUAGAACGCUUAUUUCUUCAUUUUAAGCUUCUCAGAACACUCUAUUUCGCAUAGGCAUACAUAGUAAAUUUUAGGGUCACGCUGUGUACC
This is a non-coding RNA of Parasteatoda tepidariorum (common house spider), 278 nucleotides long. The record is from RefSeq and is a predicted model, not a curated record. Lineage: Eukaryota; Metazoa; Arthropoda; Arachnida; Araneae; Theridiidae.